RNAcentral lists this transfer RNA (56 nucleotides) under Gloeobacter violaceus PCC 7421. Its description in RNAcentral is "tRNA-Ile". It matches the Rfam family "tRNA", at positions 18 to 71 of the family's 71-position model. From Rfam's summary of the family: Transfer RNA (tRNA) molecules are approximately 80 nucleotides in length. The record is from RNAcentral. Lineage: Bacteria; Bacillati; Cyanobacteriota; Cyanophyceae; Gloeobacterales; Gloeobacteraceae.
GUUAGAGCGCACCCCUGAUAAGGGUGAGGUCCCUGGUUCGAGUCCAGGAUGGCCCA